AAAAAGCAUAUUCCCUAUCUGUUAAAGAAUCGAGUUUGCGCGGGUGUCAGCUUGUGUUCGAGCAGCGCACGGGUUUCACGUUGUCAAAUACUAUCGGGGCUCGUUUGUUUGCAGGCAUUGAUAAGCACACUUAUCUCCCUUAUAUCUUCCGUUUGUUUGCCAUGUUAGUGAAUCUUCCUGAUCCGGGAAAAUAAAAGCGACCUUGUUCAAAUCAUGUUAGUUAACUACUUUUCUUUACAUAACUCUAACACAACAAAAGCCAGCGAUAGGCAUUAUCACACUUUUCCUGUUUGGCUUUACCAAGUUCUUGUGACCUUAUUGCCCCUCCACCUUCUUCUAUCUACAUCCCUAUUCCUCACGCCAAACUCAAUUUUUCUCAUAAGGCAGUUACCAGGAGCGGCAAAUCAUAUUUUCAGAUUUCAAAAUCAAUCUAGAGAGCCUUUGGUUGGAUUCAUUUAUUUCUCAAAAAUUUGGAGGUUGUGGUGUUUCUUAAUGAUGAGAUGUCAAUUACACUACGUUCUAAAUCAAUUUCAGUUAUUGUCCUUUGAAGCAAAUUGGAUGUGAUUAAGAUUAAAGUCUUUUGGAUGGGAUGGGGGGCUGCGCUCGAGCUUCGUCUCGCCGCCGCCGCAUUUGUCCGAUCUCUCGCACACCCCGACCGCUUCCAAGGAUGAUCGAAGUGGCAUAGCUAGUGAGAAGAAGACACCAUCGAUUCCACGGAGGUAAAAAUAUGCUCAAUUUGAUAUGAGGUACUCUUCUUUUUUCCCAUCAGAUAUGUUGUGUAGAGAGGUGAAAUUCAAUAUUAUCCUAUACAUCAACUGCUUGAGUAUGAACAUGGCUUGCUGAUUGAGAGUCUGGUCGAGGCCCCGACUUCGAGUGGAUCGGUUAGUGGCGGUAGGAGUCGCCUUAGAAUGUAAAUAACGCUUUGACCAUGUCGAAAGAGUAGCUGAAAUCAUCAGCUGCAUUUGGGCUCAUCAGGCAGACCAACCUUCUUCACACAUGUCAGUGGUGCCAGCACUGCACGCUGAGCUUGAGAGAGCUCGGACGCAGGUCAAUUAUCUAAUGCAAGAGCAGCGGAAUAGAGACGGGGUCCAUCAUCUCAUCAAGUGUUUUGCUAAGGAAAAGAUGUCGUGGAAGAGGAGUUCAUCAUCUCAUCAACCUUCUUCACACAUGUUAGGGUUAGUGCGAAAAUUUUAGUUCAACCCCAAAAAUGGGGGAAUGAGGACAAUCUGGGAAUUAUGAAAUAUUAAUGAGGAUAAAUUCGUGAA
Long non-coding RNA from Salvia splendens (bonfire salvia), 1265 nucleotides. RefSeq lists it as uncharacterized. Lineage: Eukaryota; Viridiplantae; Streptophyta; Magnoliopsida; Lamiales; Lamiaceae. The record is from RefSeq and is a predicted model, not a curated record. The transcript has 3 exons.